Molecule: long non-coding RNA, 776 nt
Filed under: Solanum tuberosum (potato)
Lineage: Eukaryota; Viridiplantae; Streptophyta; Magnoliopsida; Solanales; Solanaceae
Description: long non-coding RNA (STUB_LNC000827)
Source: RNAcentral
ACCAAAACCAAAAACUACUUCUCUUCAAAUUCAGAUAGAAAUUCGAACAUCGAAUUUCAAUCUUAAAAAUAGAAGAUACAUUAAAGAAGCUAUAUAUUAGGUAAUGAUGCAGCAGCUAAGUACUAGUAGAACAUCUGGCGUUAGGACAUCAUUCAAUAGCUUAGUCGUAUUAGGAUCAGUAGUUAGUCGUAUUAGGAUUGCAUUUUCAGCACACAUUCAGUCUUUAUAAUUACAAGUUCAAAAUGUUUUCUGGAAACAAAAACUCUAUUUCUACGAAAGGCAUGUACACUGUUCAAAUCUUAGUCAUACAUAAUAUAUCCUCUCCAGUUUCCACCAAAUGCAAUUUCCCUUGCCAAUCAUGACACUUAAACACAUCUAAGAGAAGUCUGCUCCAAUCUACCAUCUCGACAAGGUCCAUCUCAUUGUUUCAACCAAGAAUCUGAAACAUAGGAUAUGGUAAAAAGUAUUAUUGGAGAAGCAACUCGUUACAAAUAACCACCAAAAAAAGUUUUUUAGUACAAAGCAAGACCUAUUAAGAUGAGGUGGUAUAGGCCUAAGGACAUUUCAGAGCCAAUGAGGCACUCUUUUAUAUUAAAUUCAAGACGACAUAGCAGUCUUUUUCUUAAAUUGCAAAUGUUUCAAUGAAUUAUCCUCUGUUGUGAAGAGAAAUAACGAGCAGUGUGCAUACAAAAACUGACUUACCUUGUAUUUUUCUGCUUUGUACAACCAGUCUCCUGAAAAAGAAAUAGGAAAAACAAAAUAAUGUCAAAAANNNN